CUCAAUUAAAAAUUCCCUUCAAUUAAAAGUCCUGGAGGGUUCCUCGCCCUAGAGCUCAGGAGAGAGAAGAUACCCCGGGGGUCACAGGGGGACGCAUCUACCAGCCCACCCAAGGGGCUGGCCCGGAGCCCUCACUCCCCGGGAGGCGGAGGAAACCCACUGGCCAAUCGCCACCACCGAGGCCCAGAUCUGCUCUCUGAUUGGCUCCAGUGGUGACGCCCCCUCCGAAUUCCUGGCUCUGAUUGGUCUAUUUCCUGACUCCGACCGGGACGGUGCCCAGAGGACGAGAGGCUUCCAGACCGAACCGAGGGAUGCUGUGGGGGACGUCGGAGACGCCGUCGCACGGCGACAAACAGCCGGACUCCGAGGACACGGCGGCGGGCUCUGUGGUCUCGGGGCUGCUGCUGGCGACGGAGAGGAGCCGGCGGGGGCGCCCCCCGAGCCCGCUGCUGCCGCCGCCGAGGUUGGGUUGCUUUCUGCCUUAAUGUCAGUCAAUACUUUGGAAAUUAUCGAGAAGUUCAAAUUCUGAUGAAGAAGGAAGAAUUGACCCUUGAAAUGGUGGUGACAGAAAGAGACAUUAUCAAGAAGGAAUUUGGAUAAGGCACAAACCAAAUUUUGAUUACUACCGACUUACUG
This 636-nucleotide long non-coding RNA is filed under the name Vulpes vulpes (red fox). Its description in RNAcentral is "lncRNA (ENSVVUG00000006885.1)". The record is from RNAcentral. Lineage: Eukaryota; Metazoa; Chordata; Mammalia; Carnivora; Canidae.